AAGUCGUAACAAGGUUUCCGUAGGUGAACCUGCGGAAGGAUCAUUACAAAUCUCUGAUAAUCACGAUCGUGAGGAAUAGUGUAGUGUAGUGUAAUCUCUCUAUAUUAUUCUCACAUCGAAUCCUAUAUUUAUCCUUACCUAUUGACACUUGUAUUUUACAACCAAACCAAGAAUACCUUUUAACAAUGGAUCUCUUGGCUCUU
Molecule: unclassified non-coding RNA, 203 nt
Filed under: Rozellomycota sp.
Lineage: Eukaryota; Fungi; Rozellomycota
Description: Cryptomycota sp. partial contains small subunit ribosomal RNA, internal transcribed spacer 1, and 5.8S ribosomal RNA
Rfam family: Eukaryotic small subunit ribosomal RNA (bases 1-46)
Source: RNAcentral